RNAcentral lists this ribosomal RNA (571 nucleotides) under uncultured bacterium. RNAcentral's name for it is "bacterial SSU rRNA". It matches the Rfam family "Bacterial small subunit ribosomal RNA", at positions 373 to 936 of the family's 1533-position model. The record is from RNAcentral.
GGCGCAGCUGACGAUGUCACGCCGCGUGGAGGAUGAACAUCUUCGGAUCGUAAACUCCUUUCGAUCGAGACGAAUGGCCCUUGGGCUAAUACCCUGAGGGAGUGACGGUACCGAGAGAAGAAGCCCCGGCUAACUCCGUGCCAGCAGCCGCGGUAAUACGGGGGGGGCAAGCGUUGUUCGGAAUUACUGGGCGUAAAGGGCUCGUAGGCGGCCAACUAAGUCAUACGUGAAAUCCCUCGGCUUAACCGGGGAACUGCGUCUGAUACUGGAUGGCUUGAGUUCGGGAGAGGGAUGCGGAAUUCCAGGUGUAGCGGUGAAAUGCGUAGAUAUCUGGAGGAACACCGGUGGCGAAGGCGGCAUCCUGGACCGAUACUGACGCUGAGGAGCGAAAGCCAGUGGAGCAAACGGGAUUAGAUACCCCGGUAGUCCUGGCCCUAAACGAUGAAUGCUUGGUGUGGCGGGUAUCGAUCCCUGCCGUGCCGAAGCUAACGCAUUAAGCAUUCCGCCUGGGGAGUACGGUCGCAAGGCUGAAACUCCAAAGGAAUUGACGGGGGCCCGGACAAGCGGUGGA